RNAcentral lists this ribosomal RNA (421 nucleotides) under Bacillus sp. Y1. RNAcentral's name for it is "bacterial SSU rRNA". It matches the Rfam family "Bacterial small subunit ribosomal RNA", at positions 210 to 622 of the family's 1533-position model. RNAcentral also lists the same sequence under 1 other name. The record is from RNAcentral. Lineage: Bacteria; Bacillati; Bacillota; Bacilli; Caryophanales; Bacillaceae.
AGCUACCACUUACAGAUGGACCCGCGGCGCAUUAGCUAGUUGGUGAGGUAACGGCUCACCAAGGCGACGAUGCGUAGCCGACCUGAGAGGGUGAUCGGCCACACUGGGACUGAGACACGGCCCAGACUCCUACGGGAGGCAGCAGUAGGGAAUCUUCCGCAAUGGACGAAAGUCUGACGGAGCAACGCCGCGUGAGUGAUGAAGGUUUUCGGAUCGUAAAACUCUGUUGUUAGGGAAGAACAAGUACCGUUCGAAUAGGGCGGUACCUUGACGGUACCUAACCAGAAAGCCACGGCUAACUACGUGCCAGCAGCCGCGGUAAUACGUAGGUGGCAAGCGUUGUCCGGAAUUAUUGGGCGUAAAGCGCGCGCAGGCGGUUUCUUAAGUCUGAUGUGAAAGCCCCCGGCUCAACCGGGGAGGG